GAUGAACGCUGGCGGCGUGCCUAAUACAUGCAAGUCGAGCGAACGGACGAGAAGCUUGCUUCUCUGAUGUUAUCGGCGGACGGGUGAGUAACAUGUGGAUAACCUACCUAUAAGACUGGGAUAACUUCGGGAAACCGGAGCUACUACCGGAUAAUAUAUUGACCCGCAUGGUUCAAAAGUGAAAGACGCUCUUGCUGUCACUAAUAGAUGGAUCAGCGCUGCAUCAGCUAGUUGGGAAGGUAAAGGCUUACCAAGGCAACGAUGGAUACCCGACCUGAAGGGGAGAUUGCACAGCCGGGAAGUGAGACUGGGACGAGACUCCGACGGGGGGCAACGGUAGGGAAUCUUACGCGAGGGAGGAGAGGCUGAUGGAGCAAAGUGGCGGAAGUGAUGAAGGUCUUCGGAUCGUAGAGCUCUGUUAGUAGGGAAGAAGAAAUGUGCAAGUAACUGGGAAGAUCUUGACGGUACCGAGUCAGUAAGCUCCGGCUAACUACGUG
RNAcentral lists this ribosomal RNA (497 nucleotides) under uncultured bacterium. RNAcentral describes it as "partial 16S ribosomal RNA". It matches the Rfam family "Bacterial small subunit ribosomal RNA", at positions 28 to 507 of the family's 1533-position model. The record is from RNAcentral.